GAAGAGAAGAGUUGUUAAUUUUUUCUUAUUAGGGUAAACUUUAUAUACCACACCUGUAUUUUCGUACUUUCUUAUUACAGUACAUUAUGAUUUAAAGUGUAUCAAAUUAGUGUCAUGUAGUAUUCUUUUUAUCUUCUCGUCAGCUUCUCCGUUAAUAUUUCGUUAAAAUAUAUACAAAAAACAUCAGAUAGUACACCUAAAUUUAUCUAAUAUUUAUUUUAGUACCUUUUAGUUUUAACUUUGUCACUGAUUUAAUGAAAAAAAUUAGUAGAAUCGAAAAUAAAAAGAUAAAAAUGAAACCAUGGAAUACUAAAUUGAUACACGUUAAACCACAGGAUACUAAAGUGAGAAAGUGUGAAACCACAUGGGUGGUCCUUUUAUUUACGACAAAUAGGGGUAUAAAAGUAAGGCUAAAUUAUAAAAAAAUCUUGCUAAAAAUAUUAUUUUUAAUUUUUUUUUAACUUAUAUUUUGUUUUCUUAAAAUUUUAAAAAUAUUUUCAGCAGGUACGACGUUAAUGGAGAGGGCAAAAUAAUUUUUUAACAUAUUUAUCCUAUUUUGAAGGGUAUUUUUAGUAUAAAUUAUUAGAAAUGGAUAGAAUAGUGAUGAAAUCUUGACAGAUGAGGACUAAAUAGAACAACUUAAAAUAUUAAGAAGGUA
This 658-nucleotide long non-coding RNA is filed under the name Ananas comosus (pineapple). RNAcentral describes it as "long non-coding RNA (ACOM_LNC039433)". The record is from RNAcentral. Lineage: Eukaryota; Viridiplantae; Streptophyta; Magnoliopsida; Poales; Bromeliaceae.